RNAcentral lists this long non-coding RNA (967 nucleotides) under Drosophila guanche. The record is from RNAcentral. Lineage: Eukaryota; Metazoa; Arthropoda; Insecta; Diptera; Drosophilidae.
UCCUUAACCAAGUAGACCUAAAACUGGUUUGAUCUUUUAGCUCAUUGUACCCCUGGAUGGGUUACUCCUUUAUCUGCCAUUGUUUUUCGCCUUCAAAGCACUUUUCCAGCUCAUUAAAUCCGAGCCGAAGUCAGCGCAGGGACAUCGCCUCGGCCAGCAGCUGUCAAUGGGAUGGAUGGGCCAGCCUCAGUUUCAUUCUGAUCCUGCCUGCCUGGUCAAUGUAGGCAUAUUGUGGUCGUAAAUCAGCAAUGGAGAGUGGCCCUUGUGGCCCCACUGACACCUUUUUGUCCACCGGCAAAUGCGUCGACAAGUCGACAAGGCAAGGCAAGGCAGGGCAGGGCAGGGCCAGGCAAGGCAAUCGCAAAAGUUAAUAACAAACAGGGCCAGGGCCACUUCUAAUUUGUGCCAAUGAAAGGGAUAAUAAAACUGGAAAUGAAACUGGAAUUGGAACUGGAAGUGGAAGUGGAUGUGGAAGUCGAAGCGGAGGCAGCAACUGUACCACCAUGGGCGGAGGACACAAUGCGAAGGACGGACGGACGGACGGGACGAGCGAGGACAAAGGCGAGGCAGUGCGCAUAUUGAAACCGGAAAUAGUCGAACCAAGUGCCAGGCAACCGACUGACGCACUGACACACAUUUCGCAAACAAAGGACAAAGGACACUGGAAACGCACAGGGAACACAUGACCGACCGACCGACCGACCGACCAACAAAACAACAACAAAAAGGGGCAGCGAAGCAGUCGGCAAGCAGGGCAACAACAAAAAGGGGAAGGAACGGAAUUCAGCAAAAUAAAAUACGAAAAAAAAGCUCGAGUAAAAAUGCUUUUGUCCAGGCGGGCAGGAACAAAGCCCAACUAACCGCCUGUGGCGGAACAACCACCCUUAAUGGCGGAAGGACAUGCAGGACAAGCCCAAGACUCAAAAAAGCCGCCCGGCAACAGCAAGGAACGGCUGCUGCAAAGCAC